CGUAGGGGGCAAGCGUUGUCCGGAUUUACUGGGUGUAAAGGGUGCUCAGGUGGCUUGGAAAGUCAGUGGUGAAAUCUGAGAGCUUAACUCUCAAACUGCCAUUGAUACUUCUUAGCUUGAGUACGGAAGAGGCUGAUGGAAUUUCAGGUGUAGCAGUGAAAUGCGUAGAUAUCUGAAAGAACACCAGUGGCGAAGGCGGUCAGCUGGUCCGUUACUGACACUAAAGCACGAAAGCGUGAGUAGCAAACAGGAUUAGAUACCCUGGUAGUCCACGCCCUAAACGAUGAAUACUAGACGUUGGAUGUAAAAAUUCAGUGUCGCAGCUAACGCAUUAAGUAUUCCACCUGGGGAGUACGAUCGCAAGGUUG
RNAcentral lists this ribosomal RNA (368 nucleotides) under uncultured organism. RNAcentral's name for it is "bacterial SSU rRNA". It matches the Rfam family "Bacterial small subunit ribosomal RNA", at positions 526 to 896 of the family's 1533-position model. The record is from RNAcentral.